GAGGUUGAUCAAGUUGUUUGUUGUUGGUCGAUAAUAGCCGACUAUCGGUCGGUUGAUCCGACUAUGAAUCGGUGUAGCAUGCUUGUAUGACCGAUGUAGAGUCAGAGUCAGGGAUCGACUGACUUAUUCCAACAUACUCAAUUAAAAAAUUAUUUUAAUUGAAUAUCAUAUGUCUAAAUUAUAAUCUCCAAAAAUUCAGUUUGGGACUCAACUCCUCGAUUAGCUAGUUUUUCAUGAGCUCCUCCUCUCACUUUGUCCAAUGCACAAGAAUAUGUU
RNAcentral lists this long non-coding RNA (276 nucleotides) under Elaeis guineensis (African oil palm). RNAcentral describes it as "long non-coding RNA (EGUI_LNC028615)". The record is from RNAcentral. Lineage: Eukaryota; Viridiplantae; Streptophyta; Magnoliopsida; Arecales; Arecaceae.